This is a long non-coding RNA of Gordionus sp. m RMFG-2023, 209 nucleotides long. RefSeq lists it as uncharacterized. The transcript is spliced from 3 exons. NCBI's taxonomy places the organism in Eukaryota, Metazoa, Nematomorpha, Gordioida, Chordodea, Parachordodidae. The record is from RefSeq and is a predicted model, not a curated record.
GAAAGAAAUGUCUUCUAUCUUAAUAACCGUCAUAUUAUGUAAUUCCUUAAUGAUUUCCCAUUCUUCAUUCGAUUGUUGCCGACACCAGGAUCGGAGCACCAAAUUUUGGAGGACUUGUCAUUUGAACAGCAUAAAAGUUGUUUUUGAUUGGUAUUUUAGGAAAGGGGGUAGAGUAGAAAUAUUGUACGGUGGUUGUACUUACAAGGUUC